UACGGGGGGGGCAAGCGUUGUUCGGAAUUACUGGGCGUAAAGGGCUCGUAGGCGGCCAACUAAGUCGGACGUGAAAUCCCUCGGCUUAACCGGGGAACUGCGUCCGAUACUGGAUGGCUUGAGUUUGGGAGAGGGAUGCGGAAUUCCAGGUGUAGCGGUGAAAUGCGCAGAUAUCAGGAGGAACACCGGUGGCGAAGGCGGGUCUCUGGGCCGAUACUGACGCUGAGGAGCGAAAGCGUGGGGAGCGAACAGG
This 253-nucleotide ribosomal RNA is filed under the name uncultured bacterium. RNAcentral's name for it is "partial 16S ribosomal RNA". It matches the Rfam family "Bacterial small subunit ribosomal RNA", at positions 524 to 776 of the family's 1533-position model. The record is from RNAcentral.